CCAAUAGCGUAUAUUAAAGUUGUUGCAGUUAAAAAGCUCGUAGUUGAAUUUCGGGAUUGACACAUCGGUCGUGCCUUAAGGGGUAUGAACUGGUGUAGUCAAUUUCUCACCUUCUGGAGAACCGCGAUGCCCUUAAUUGGGUGUCACGGGGAACCAGGACUUUUACUUUGAAAAAAUUAGAGUGUUUAAAGCAGGCAUUUUGCUUGAAUACAUUAGCAUGGAAUAAUAAAAUAGGUGGGCAUGAUUCUAUUUUGUUGGUUUCUAGGAUCACCGUAAUGAUUAAUAGGGAUAGUUGGGGGCAUUAGUAUUCAAUUGUCAGAGGUGAAAUUCUUGGAUUUAUUGAAGACUAACUACUGCGAAAGCAUUUGCCAAGGAUGUUUUCAUUAAUCAAGAACGAAAGUUAGGGGAUCGAAGACGAUCAGAUACCGUCGUAGUCUUAACCAUAAACUAUGCCGACUAGGAAUCAGACGAUGUUAAUUUUUUAAUGACUCGUUUGGCACCUUACG
Molecule: ribosomal RNA, 506 nt
Filed under: uncultured Glomeromycotina
Lineage: Eukaryota; Fungi; Glomeromycota
Description: partial small subunit ribosomal RNA
Rfam family: Eukaryotic small subunit ribosomal RNA
Source: RNAcentral